GCAAGUGGCAACAAUGGAACCAAGAUUUUUUACAAAACUUAUGGCCAAGGCCCGGUCAAAGUUCUAUUGAUUAUUGGAUUGGCUGGAACGCAUAGUUCAUGGGACCCACAGAUCAAGGCGCUCGCCGGGACGAUUACGCCGAAUGAUUCUGAAUCGGCGGCCGGUGAUCGGAGCUACGGUGAAGGUGGGGGUAUGGAGGUUUGUGCUUUU
RNAcentral lists this unclassified non-coding RNA (210 nucleotides) under Hevea brasiliensis (rubber tree). The record is from RNAcentral. Lineage: Eukaryota; Viridiplantae; Streptophyta; Magnoliopsida; Malpighiales; Euphorbiaceae.